UGUGCUCGAGAGGGAAACAGCCCGGACCGCCCGCUAAGGUCCCCAAGUUCCAGCCGAGUGGCAAAGGAUGUGCGUCCGCCCAGACAACCAGGAUGUUGGCUUAGAAGCAGCCAUCCAUUCAAAGAGUGCGUAACAGCUCACUGGUCGAGUGGACAUGCGCCGACAAUACACGGGGCUAAGCUGGACACCGAAGCGGCGGGAUUUUAAUUCAUUAGAAUCGGUAGGGGAGCUUCCCAUGGGCGGAGAAGCCGGAGGGCGACCGACGGUGGAGCGCAUGGGAGUGAGAAUGCUGGCAUGAGUAGCGAGAGACGAGAGAGUAACUCGUCCGCCGUGAACCCGAGGUUUCCUGGGCAAGGCUAAUCCUCCCAGGGUCAGUCGGGGGCUAAGGCGAGGCCGGGAGGCGUAGCCGACGCGCAGCAGGCAGACAUUCCUGCACCGCGCACGCGGCGCUACGACCGACGGGGCGACGGAUGGGGGUGGCUCGGCGGGGUUCUGGACGUCCCCGUGAUGGAGCGCGGCCCGCGGACCAGGGAAAUCCGGUCCGCAGAAGGGCGAGGCUCCGGACGAAGCGAUUGAGCGAAGCGAGUGAGCCCGAGGUCCCUAGAAAAACCCCUAGGCAGGCGCGUGCGCGCCCGUACCGCAAACCGACACAGGUGGGUGGGUAGAACAUACCGAGGCGAUCGGGUCAACCAUGGUCAAGGAACUCGGCACAAUGGCCCCGUAACUUCGGGAGAAGGGGUGCCCGCGCGUACGUGAACCGGCUUGCCCGGGGAGCGGAGGCGGGCCGCAGUGGAGAGGCCCAAGCGACUGUUUACCAAAAACACAGGACUCUGCAGAAGCCGCAAGGCGACGUAUAGGGUCUGACGCCUGCCCGGUGCCGGAAGGUCACGCGGAGGAGUUAGCCGAUUCGGCGAAGCCCCGAAGCCAAGCCCCGGUAAACGGCGGCCGUAACUAUAACGGUCCUAAGGUAGCGAAAUUCCUUGUCGGGUAAGUUCCGACCUGCACGAAAGGCGCAACGACUUGGGCGCUGUCUCGACCAUGGACCCGGUGAAAUUGCACUGGUCGUGAAGAUGCGACUUACCCGCGGAAGGACGGAAAGACCCCGUGAACCUUCACUGCAGCUUGGCAUUGGCCGCUGGUCCCGCGUGUAGAGGAUAGGCAGGAGGCAUCGAUCCGGAGGCGCCAGCCCCCGGGGAGCCGCCCUUGGAAUACUGCCCUCGCGCGACCGGCGUCCUAACCCGAGGCCGUCAACCGGCUCGGGGACCGUGCCAGGCGGGCAGUUUGACUGGGGCGGUCGCCUCCUAAAGGGUAACGGAGGCGCGCGAAGGUCCGCUCGGGACGGUCGGCAACCGUCCUUUUGAAUGCAAGAGUACAAGCGGGCUUGACUGCGAGGCCCACAAGCCGAGCAGGUGCGAAAGCAGGCUCUAGUGAUCCGGCGGCCCCGAGUGGGUGGGCCGUCGCUCAACGGAUAAAAGGUACUCCGGGGAUAACAGGCUGAUCUUGCCCAAGAGUCCACAUCGACGGCAAGGUUUGGCACCUCGAUGUCGGCUCAUCGCAUCCUGGGGCUGGAGCAGGUCCCAAGGGUACGGCUGUUCGCCGUUUAAAGCGGUACGCGAGCUGGGUUCAGAACGUCGUGAGACAGUUCGGUCCCUAUCCUCCGUGGGCGCAGGAGAAUCGAUGGAGGCUGCCCCCAGUACGAGAGGACCGGGGUGGACGCACCUCCGGUGAACCGGUUGUCGACCAACGGCACGGCCGGGUAGCCGCGUGCGGCGCGGAUAACCGCUGAAGGCAUCUAAGCGGGAAGCCGUUCCAGGGAUUAGUUCUCCUUCCGGUAAGGGCCCAGGUAGACUACCUGGUCGAUAGACGGCAGGUGCAAGGGCGGCGACGUCCUCAGCCGAGCCGCACUAAUCGCCCGAGCUCUUCCGGA
This 1927-nucleotide ribosomal RNA is filed under the name human gut metagenome. RNAcentral describes it as "bacterial LSU rRNA". It matches the Rfam family "Bacterial large subunit ribosomal RNA", at positions 1006 to 2925 of the family's 2925-position model. The record is from RNAcentral.